ACUCCUGCGGGAGGCAGCAGUGGGGAAUUUUGGACAAUGGGCGAAAGCCUGAUCCAGCAAUGCCGCGUGAGUGAAGAAGGCCUUCGGGUUGUAAAGCUCUUUUGUCAGGGAAGAAACGGUGAAAGCUAAUAUCUUUUGCUAAUGACGGUACCUGAAGAAUAAGCACCGGCUAACUACGUGCCAGCAGCCGCGGUAAUACGUAGGGUGCAAGCGUUAAUCGGAAUUACUGGGCGUAAAGCGUGCGCAGGCGGUUUUGUAAGUCUGAUGUGAAAUCCCCGGGCUCAACCUGGGAAUUGCAUUGGAGACUGCAAGGCUAGAAUCUGGCAGAGGGGGGUAGAAUUCCACGUGUAGCAGUGAAAUGCGUAGAUAUGUGGAGGAACACCGACGGCGAAGGCAGCCCCCUGGGUCAAGAUUGACGCUCAUGCACGAAAGCGUGGGGAGCAAACAGGAUUAGAAACCCCUGUAGUCCCAUGAU
Molecule: ribosomal RNA, 475 nt
Filed under: uncultured organism
Description: partial 16S ribosomal RNA
Rfam family: Bacterial small subunit ribosomal RNA
Source: RNAcentral